GACGGAGGGUGCUAGCGUUGUUCGGAAUCACUGGGCGUAAAGGGCGCGUAGGCGGCCAGGCAAGUCGGCUUGUGAAAGCCCGGGGCUCAACCCCGGAGGUGCGGCCGGGACUGCUUGGCUGGAGGCCGGAAGAGGAGGGUGGAAUACCCAGUGUAGAGGUGAAAUUCGUAGAUAUUGGGUGGAACACCGGUGGCGAAAGCGGCUCUCUGGUCCGGACCUGACGCUGAGGCGCGAAAGCGUGGGGGAGCAAACAGG
This 255-nucleotide ribosomal RNA is filed under the name uncultured bacterium. RNAcentral's name for it is "partial 16S ribosomal RNA". It matches the Rfam family "Bacterial small subunit ribosomal RNA", at positions 524 to 776 of the family's 1533-position model. The record is from RNAcentral.